Molecule: long non-coding RNA, 631 nt
Filed under: Helianthus annuus (common sunflower)
Lineage: Eukaryota; Viridiplantae; Streptophyta; Magnoliopsida; Asterales; Asteraceae
Description: hypothetical non coding rna
Source: RNAcentral
GGUUGAACCGCUAGUUUGACCAGCAACGGCGAGUUACGACACACGGGACAAGUAGGAUGAACCCUCAACCAUUUGUCAAUACACUUCCGAUGAAACAAGUGACCACAUUCGGGCAACAACCGAAUAACAUCCGCGGGCUUAUAAUCCGCCAAACAAAUAGAACAACCUGACCCAUUCGCGUCCACAAGAGAGUCACCCUUUCCAGCCAUCAUCACCUCAGAGUAAACAAACUCCGGAAAAGUCUUGAGAACAUCGUCGUCAACGCCUCUAGAGACCAUCCUUGUCCUAAACCGUUGAUCAUCACCUUCUGGAGGUGAUGAAGAGCGUGUGUCGCGCCUACACUUGUAAGAAGCAUAGGAGAGAGUGAACAAGAGGAUGAUGACGGCGAAGGCUAGCCCGAGGACGUAGGUGACGUUAUUGUCGGGUUUUCCGGUGGUGUCAAUGGUAAAUGUCAACUUGGAGGUUGUUUUAUAUAUAUGCGGAGAUAAGGUCUCUUGGCCUUUGGGUUUGAUCAAUAACCUUUAAAAAUUCGUAUUUGAAACGUAUAUAUAUAGCAUAUAUACGCAUAGACCACUAUAACUAUGGAUGUAUGCAAAACAUUAAAAAGUAGUUGUUAAAUCAAUUUUAAGUU